Molecule: transfer RNA, 73 nt
Filed under: Stegodyphus mimosarum
Lineage: Eukaryota; Metazoa; Arthropoda; Arachnida; Araneae; Eresidae
Rfam family: tRNA
About the family: Transfer RNA (tRNA) molecules are approximately 80 nucleotides in length. Their secondary structure includes four short double-helical elements and three loops (D, anti-codon, and T loops). Further hydrogen bonds mediate the characteristic L-shaped molecular structure. tRNAs have two regions of fundamental functional importance: the anti-codon, which is responsible for specific mRNA codon recognition, and the 3' end, to which the tRNAs corresponding amino acid is attached (by aminoacyl-tRNA synthetases). tRNAs cope with the degeneracy of the genetic code in two manners: having more than one tRNA (with a specific anti-codon) for a particular amino acid; and 'wobble' base-pairing, i.e. permitting non-standard base-pairing at the 3rd anti-codon position.
Source: Rfam by way of RNAcentral
GCCUUCGUGGUGUAGUGGUCAGCACACUCAAUGCGCAACCGAGAGGUCCGUGGUUCGAUUCCCGGCGAAGGCG